This 471-nucleotide ribosomal RNA is filed under the name uncultured bacterium. RNAcentral's name for it is "bacterial SSU rRNA". It matches the Rfam family "Bacterial small subunit ribosomal RNA", at positions 8 to 526 of the family's 1533-position model. The record is from RNAcentral.
AGAGUUUGAUCAUGGCUCAGGAUGAACGCUGGCGGCAUGCCUAACACAUGCAAGUCGAACGCUAUCUUUGAUAGAGUGGCGCACGGGUGAGUAACGCGUGGGAACCUGCCUUUUUCUGCGGGACAACGGUUGGAAACGACCGCUAAUACCGCAUACGCCCUACGGGGGAAAGGUCCGCCGGAGAAAGAGGGGCCCGCGUUUGAUUAGCUUGUUGGUAGGGUAAUGGCCUACCAAGGCGACGAUCAAUAGCUGGUCUGAGAGGAUGAUCAGCCACACUGGGACUGAGACACGGCCCAGACUCCUACGGGAGGCAGCAGUGGGGAAUAUUGGACAAUGGGGGCAACCCUGAUCCAGCAAUGCCGCGUGUGUGAUGAAGGCCCUAGGGUUGUAAAGCACUUUCACUGGUGAAGAUGAUGACGGUAACCAGAGAAGAAACCCCGGCUAACUUCGUGCCAGCAGCCGCGGUAAUUC